Molecule: ribosomal RNA, 259 nt
Filed under: uncultured prokaryote
Description: partial 16S ribosomal RNA
Rfam family: Bacterial small subunit ribosomal RNA
Source: RNAcentral
UACGGAGGAUCCGAGCGUUAUCCGGAUUUAUUGGGUUUAAAGGGUGCGUAGGUGGAUUGGUAAGUCAGUGGUGAAAGUUUGCAGCUUAACUGUAAAAUUGCCGUUGAAACUGCCGGUCUUGAGUGCAAAUGAGGUAGGCGGAAUGCGUCGUGUAGCGGUGAAAUGCUUAGAUAUGACGCAGAACUCCGAUUGCGAAGGCAGCUUACUGGGAUGCAACUGACGCUGAGGCACGAAAGCGUGGGUAUCAAGCAGGAUUAGA